GGUUAAGCGACUAAGCGUACACGGUGGAUGCCCUGGCAGUCAGAGGCGAUGAAGGACGUGCUAAUCUGCGAUAAGCGUCGGUAAGGUGAUAUGAACCGUUAUAACCGGCGAUUUCCGAAUGGGGAAACCCAGUGUGUUUCGACACACUAUCAUUAACUGAAUCCAUAGGUUAAUGAGGCGAACCGGGGGAACUGAAACAUCUAAGUACCCCGAGGAAAAGAAAUCAACCGAGAUUCCCCCAGUAGCGGCGAGCGAACGGGGAGCAGCCCAGAGCCUGAAUCAGUGUGUGUGUUAGUGGAAGCGUCUGGAAAGGCGCGCGAUACAGGGUGACAGCCCCGUACACAAAAAUGCACAUGCUGUGAGCUCGAUGAGUAGGGCGGGACACGUGGUAUCCUGUCUGAAUAUGGGGGGACCAUCCUCCAAGGCUAAAUACUCCUGACUGACCGAUAGUGAACCAGUACCGUGAGGGAAAGGCGAAAAGAACCCCGGCGAGGGGAGUGAAAAAGAACCUGAAACCGUGUACGUACAAGCAGUGGGAGCACGCUUAGGCGUGUGACUGCGUACCUUUUGUAUAAUGGGUCAGCGACUUAUAUUCUGUAGCAAGGUUAACCGAAUAGGGGAGCCGAAGGGAAACCGAGUCUUAACUGGGCGUUAAGUUGCAGGGUAUAGACCCGAAACCCGGUGAUCUAGCCAUGGGCAGGUUGAAGGUUGGGUAACACUAACUGGAGGACCGAACCGACUAAUGUUGAAAAAUUAGCGGAUGACUUGUGGCUGGGGGUGAAAGGCCAAUCAAACCGGGAGAUAGCUGGUUCUCCCCGAAAGCUAUUUAGGUAGCGCCUCGUGAAUUCAUCUCCGGGGGUAGAGCACUGUUUCGGCAAGGGGGUCAUCCCGACUUACCAACCCGAUGCAAACUGCGAAUACCGGAGAAUGUUAUCACGGGAGACACACGGCGGGUGCUAACGUCCGUCGUGAAGAGGGAAACAACCCAGACCGCCAGCUAAGGUCCCAAAGUCAUGGUUAAGUGGGAAACGAUGUGGGAAGGCCCAGACAGCCAGGAUGUUGGCUUAGAAGCAGCCAUCAUUUAAAGAAAGCGUAAUAGCUCACUGGUCGAGUCGGCCUGCGCGGAAGAUGUAACGGGGCUAAACCAUGCACCGAAGCUGCGGCAGCGACGCUUAUGCGUUGUUGGGUAGGGGAGCGUUCUGUAAGCCUGUGAAGGUGUGCUGUGAGGCAUGCUGGAGGUAUCAGAAGUGCGAAUGCUGACAUAAGUAACGAUAAAGCGGGUGAAAAGCCCGCUCGCCGGAAGACCAAGGGUUCCUGUCCAACGUUAAUCGGGGCAGGGUGAGUCGACCCCUAAGGCGAGGCCGAAAGGCGUAGUCGAUGGGAAACAGGUUAAUAUUCCUGUACUUGGUGUUACUGCGAAGGGGGGACGGAGAAGGCUAUGUUGGCCGGGCGACGGUUGUCCCGGUUUAAGCGUGUAGGCUGGUUUUCCAGGCAAAUCCGGAAAAUCAAGGCUGAGGCGUGAUGACGAGGCACUACGGUGCUGAAGCAACAAAUGCCCUGCUUCCAGGAAAAGCCUCUAAGCAUCAGGUAACAUCAAAUCGUACCCCAAACCGACACAGGUGGUCAGGUAGAGAAUACCAAGGCGCUUGAGAGAACUCGGGUGAAGGAACUAGGCAAAAUGGUGCCGUAACUUCGGGAGAAGGCACGCUGAUAUGUAGGUGAAGCGACUUGCUCGUGGAGCUGAAAUCAGUCGAAGAUACCAGCUGGCUGCAACUGUUUAUUAAAAACACAGCACUGUGCAAACACGAAAGUGGACGUAUACGGUGUGACGCCUGCCCGGUGCCGGAAGGUUAAUUGAUGGGGUUAGCGCAAGCGAAGCUCUUGAUCGAAGCCCCGGUAAACGGCGGCCGUAACUAUAACGGUCCUAAGGUAGCGAAAUUCCUUGUCGGGUAAGUUCCGACCUGCACGAAUGGCGUAAUGAUGGCCAGGCUGUCUCCACCCGAGACUCAGUGAAAUUGAACUCGCUGUGAAGAUGCAGUGUACCCGCGGCAAGACGGAAAGACCCCGUGAACCUUUACUAUAGCUUGACACUGAACAUUGAGCCUUGAUGUGUAGGAUAGGUGGGAGGCUUUGAAGUGUGGACGCCAGUCUGCAUGGAGCCGACCUUGAAAUACCACCCUUUAAUGUUUGAUGUUCUAACGUUGACCCGUAAUCCGGGUUGCGGACAGUGUCUGGUGGGUAGUUUGACUGGGGCGGUCUCCUCCUAAAGAGUAACGGAGGAGCACGAAGGUUGGCUAAUCCUGGUCGGACAUCAGGAGGUUAGUGCAAUGGCAUAAGCCAGCUUGACUGCGAGCGUGACGGCGCGAGCAGGUGCGAAAGCAGGUCAUAGUGAUCCGGUGGUUCUGAAUGGAAGGGCCAUCGCUCAACGGAUAAAAGGUACUCCGGGGAUAACAGGCUGAUACCGCCCAAGAGUUCAUAUCGACGGCGGUGUUUGGCACCUCGAUGUCGGCUCAUCACAUCCUGGGGCUGAAGUAGGUCCCAAGGGUAUGGCUGUUCGCCAUUUAAAGUGGUACGCGAGCUGGGUUUAGAACGUCGUGAGACAGUUCGGUCCCUAUCUGCCGUGGGCGCUGGAGAACUGAGGGGGGCUGCUCCUAGUACGAGAGGACCGGAGUGGACGCAUCACUGGUGUUCGGGUUGUCAUGCCAAUGGCACUGCCCGGUAGCUAAAUGCGGAAGAGAUAAGUGCUGAAAGCAUCUAAGCACGAAACUUGCCCCGAGAUGAGUUCUCCCUGACCCUUUAAGGGUCCUGAAGGAACGUUGAAGACGACGACGUUGAUAGGCCGGGUGUGUAAGCGCAGCGAUGCGUUGAGCUAACCGGUACUAAUGAACCGUGAGGCUUAACCUU
Molecule: ribosomal RNA, 2904 nt
Filed under: Escherichia coli
Lineage: Bacteria; Pseudomonadati; Pseudomonadota; Gammaproteobacteria; Enterobacterales; Enterobacteriaceae
Description: 23S ribosomal RNA
Rfam family: Bacterial large subunit ribosomal RNA
Source: RNAcentral